RNAcentral lists this ribosomal RNA (796 nucleotides) under Salmonella enterica subsp. enterica serovar Infantis. Its description in RNAcentral is "partial 23S ribosomal RNA". It matches the Rfam family "Bacterial large subunit ribosomal RNA", at positions 2007 to 2802 of the family's 2925-position model. RNAcentral also lists the same sequence under 2 other names. The record is from RNAcentral. Lineage: Bacteria; Pseudomonadati; Pseudomonadota; Gammaproteobacteria; Enterobacterales; Enterobacteriaceae.
AUGGCCAGGCUGUCUCCACCCGAGACUCAGUGAAAUUGAACUCGCUGUGAAGAUGCAGUGUACCCGCGGCAAGACGGAAAGACCCCGUGAACCUUUACUAUAGCUUGACACUGAACAUUGAGCCUUGAUGUGUAGGAUAGGUGGGAGGCUUUGAAGUGUGGACGCCAGUCUGCAUGGAGCCGACCUUGAAAUACCACCCUUUAAUGUUUGAUGUUCUAACGUGGACCCGUGAUCCGGGUUGCGGACAGUGUCUGGUGGGUAGUUUGACUGGGGCGGUCUCCUCCUAAAGAGUAACGGAGGAGCACGAAGGUUGGCUAAUCCUGGUCGGACAUCAGGAGGUUAGUGCAAUGGCAUAAGCCAGCUUGACUGCGAGCGUGACGGCGCGAGCAGGUGCGAAAGCAGGUCAUAGUGAUCCGGUGGUUCUGAAUGGAAGGGCCAUCGCUCAACGGAUAAAAGGUACUCCGGGGAUAACAGGCUGAUACCGCCCAAGAGUUCAUAUCGACGGCGGUGUUUGGCACCUCGAUGUCGGCUCAUCACAUCCUGGGGCUGAAGUAGGUCCCAAGGGUAUGGCUGUUCGCCAUUUAAAGUGGUACGCGAGCUGGGUUUAGAACGUCGUGAGACAGUUCGGUCCCUAUCUGCCGUGGGCGCUGGAGAACUGAGGGGGGCUGCUCCUAGUACGAGAGGACCGGAGUGGACGCAUCACUGGUGUUCGGGUUGUCAUGCCAAUGGCACUGCCCGGUAGCUAAAUGCGGAAGAGAUAAGUGCUGAAAGCAUCUAAGCACGAAACUUGCCCCGA